UAGCUCAGUUGGUAGAGCAGUUGACUUUUAAUCAAUUGGUCGCAGGUUCGAAUCCUGCACGACCCACCAAUCUUUAAUGAUGGUAACUGGUAGAAACGUGAAGGAUAACGUUGCGUCAGCGACGGCCCGAAGGGCGAGGCGAAGCCGAGUCAUCCUGCACGACCCACCA
This 169-nucleotide small RNA is filed under the name Klebsiella quasipneumoniae. RNAcentral describes it as "RtT sRNA". It matches the Rfam family "RtT RNA". Rfam says of the family: This family represents a bacterial cis-regulatory element known as RtT RNA. The exact function of RtT is unknown although it is thought that it may be involved in changing the cellular response in relation to amino acid starvation. RNAcentral also lists the same sequence under 1 other name. Lineage: Bacteria; Pseudomonadati; Pseudomonadota; Gammaproteobacteria; Enterobacterales; Enterobacteriaceae. The record is from RNAcentral.